Molecule: transfer RNA, 68 nt
Filed under: Phocaeicola plebeius
Lineage: Bacteria; Pseudomonadati; Bacteroidota; Bacteroidia; Bacteroidales; Bacteroidaceae
Description: Bacteroides plebeius tRNA-OTHER
Rfam family: tRNA
About the family: Transfer RNA (tRNA) molecules are approximately 80 nucleotides in length. Their secondary structure includes four short double-helical elements and three loops (D, anti-codon, and T loops).
Source: RNAcentral
UGCAUUGUAGCUUAAUCGGAAAGAGCGUCUCCACAGAGAAGGUGAGGGUUCGAAUCCCUCCAUUGAAC